RNAcentral lists this ribosomal RNA (497 nucleotides) under uncultured bacterium. RNAcentral describes it as "partial 16S ribosomal RNA". It matches the Rfam family "Bacterial small subunit ribosomal RNA", at positions 28 to 507 of the family's 1533-position model. The record is from RNAcentral.
GAUGAACGCUGGCGGCGUGCCUAAUACAUGCCAGUAGAACGCUGAAGGAAGGAGCUUGCUCUUUCCGGAUGAGUUGCGAACGGGUGAGUAGCGCGUAGGUAACCUGCCUGGUAGCGGGGGAUAACUAUUGGAAACGAUAGCUAAUACCGCAUAACAGUAGAUGUUGCAUGAUAUCUACUUAAAAGGUGCAAUUGCACCACUACCAGAUGGACCUGCGUUGUAUUAGCUAGUUGGUGAGGUAACGGCUCACCAAGGCGACGAUACAUAGCCGACCUGAGAGGGUGAUCGGCCACACUGGGACUGAGACACGGCCCAGACUCCUACGGGAGGCAGCAGUAGGGAAUCUUCGGCAAUGGACGGAAGUCUGACCGAGCAACGCCGCGUGAGUGAAGAAGGUUUUCGGAUCGUAAAGCUCUGUUGUAAGAGAAGAACGAGUGUGAGAGUGGAAAGUUCACACUGUGACGGUAUCUUACCAGAAAGGGACGGCUAACUACGUG